RNAcentral lists this ribosomal RNA (1017 nucleotides) under uncultured organism. RNAcentral describes it as "bacterial SSU rRNA". It matches the Rfam family "Bacterial small subunit ribosomal RNA", at positions 355 to 1375 of the family's 1533-position model. The record is from RNAcentral.
UGAGGAAUAUUGGUCAAUGGACGAGAGUCUGAACCAGCCAAGUAGCGUGAAGGAUGACUGCCCUAUGGGUUGUAAACUUCUUUUAUACGGGAAUAAAGUGAGGCACGUGUGCCUUUUUGUAUGUACCGUAUGAAUAAGGAUCGGCUAACUCCGUGCCAGCAGCCGCGGUAAUACGGAGGAUCCGAGCGUUAUCCGGAUUUAUUGGGUUUAAAGGGAGCGUAGGCGGACGCUUAAGUCAGUUGUGAAAGUUUGCGGCUCAACCGUAAAAUUGCAGUUGAUACUGGGUGUCUUGAGUACAGUAGAGGCAGGCGGAAUUCGUGGUGUAGCGGUGAAAUGCUUAGAUAUCACGAAGAACUCCGAUUGCGAAGGCAGCUUGCUGGAUUGUAACUGACGCUGAUGCUCGAAAGUGUGGGUAUCAAACAGGAUUAGAUACCCUGGUAGUCCACACAGUAAACGAUGAAUACUCGCUGUUUGCGAUAUACAGUAAGCGGCCAAGCGAAAGCGUUAAGUAUUCCACCUGGGGAGUACGCCGGCAACGGUGAAACUCAAAGGAAUUGACGGGGGCCCGCACAAGCGGAGGAACAUGUGGUUUAAUUCGAUGAUACGCGAGGAACCUUACCCGGGCUUGAAUUGCAACUGAAUGAUGUGGAGACAUGUCAGCCGCAAGGCAGUUGUGAAGGUGCUGCAUGGUUGUCGUCAGCUCGUGCCGUGAGGUGUCGGCUUAAGUGCCAUAACGAGCGCAACCCUUAUCGAUAGUUACCAUCAGGUUAUGCUGGGGACUCUGUCGAGACUGCCGUCGUAAGAUGUGAGGAAGGUGGGGAUGACGUCAAAUCAGCACGGCCCUUACGUCCGGGGCUACACACGUGUUACAAUGGGGGGUACAGAAGGCAGCUACACGGCGACGUGAUGCUAAUCCCGAAAGCCUCUCUCAGUUCGGAUUGGAGUCUGCAACCCGACUCCAUGAAGCUGGAUUCGCUAGUAAUCGCGCAUCAGCCACGGCGCGGUGAAUACGUUCCC